Molecule: long non-coding RNA, 1342 nt
Filed under: Heterocephalus glaber (naked mole-rat)
Lineage: Eukaryota; Metazoa; Chordata; Mammalia; Rodentia; Bathyergidae
Description: lncRNA (ENSHGLG00000043512.1)
Source: RNAcentral
UUUUUUUUUUUUUUUUUUUUUUUUAAAUAGUGUAUUUUUUUUUCCAUUUUUUUUAAAAGAAGAAAAAACAACAACAAAAAAAAGACUUGCCAGUCAAGGACUUUAAAAAAGAAUGACUUUGCUUUUCAUAUUCUGUUCAAAGACAGUCUAUUUUUUCACGGUAGAACACGUCCUCUGUGAUCCAUGAGUCAGUCGAGAACUCGGGCCUGACCCACCAAGGUUCCUUCAGCUGGCUCUCCUGUGUUUUGUUUUUCCUCCCAUGUCGCAAGCUGUGCCUGACCUGGCCCCCCUGCCCACGUAAGAAUGAGAUGUCCUUUUCUUCCUGGUUUCUAUUCUUCCUUUUUUGCCCCCUACUGUUUUUUAAUUAGAUUUUCAGACAUAUCAAGUAUGGUCCUGAGGGUGGGGCAGCACGGGACUCGGCCCUGUCCCCACCGGCCUGAGCACCCGGAGGGCACCUAGCAUGGCGGGGUCGGGGUCCCUGACCCAGGGACCCCGGCCCCGCCAGGAUUUUUCUCUUUGUAUAAGAGCAGAUCUGCCGUUGCUUUCAACACUUUAUUCAAACGGAAACAGCUGGGUGGUUUCCCACCUCUGUAUGUAGAUAAACCAACUUUGUAUUAAAGGGAGAUCGUCCGACCCGGCCCUGUGGAGUCGUUCUUAAGCCCUCAGCGCAUCAUGAGCCCAGUGCCAAGCACCGUGAGUGCCACUGCCUUCUCCAGGGAGCCCUGGGGACACAGGCCAUGGGGAGGGGACAGCCUGGGCCACCCUGGAGCAGAACCACAGCCGAACCAGCACGGGCUGGGGCUAGAGGGCACUGCACCCUGAGUCUGCACCUCCUGUCGGGACCGGGACAGCAGGCUAGCGCAGUGAGCACAGCAGGGGCUUCGUGGAAGCACCGUCCUGAGGGGGCGCCCUUCAAACACCAGCAGAGCAAGGCAUCAAAAACUAGUCCUAGCACCGGGGAUUUAGCUCAGUGGUUCCACCGCCUGCCUCGCAAGCGCAGGGACCUGAGUUCGAUCCCCAGUACCAAAAAAAAAAAUUAGACCUAAAUAACCCUAACCACAGAUGAAAUAGGUGUCAAAAUUGGCACUGGCAGAUUUGUGAGGCUGAGGCAGGAGGUUCUUGAGUUCAAGCCCAGCCCAGGCAACUCAGACACUUAGAUCCUGCUUCCAGACAAACCAAAAGGAAAACCAGAAAUCCAAAAUGAAUGUCAUGAAGCCCCUGCAGUGCGGCCAAAGGUAUAUUCAGAAGAAAAGUCAUACCUUUGGAUACAACUGAUAAUAAAACAAGUUUUGAAAAUAUUAAAUGAGUCAAGGUCCAAUUCAAAUAGCUCUGAAAGAACAGG